RNAcentral lists this non-coding RNA (105 nucleotides) under Bacillus sp. (in: firmicutes). Its description in RNAcentral is "Bacillus sp. SAM-I sequence". It matches the Rfam family "SAM riboswitch aptamer (S box leader)". From Rfam's summary of the family: The SAM riboswitch is found upstream of a number of genes which code for proteins involved in methionine or cysteine biosynthesis in Gram-positive bacteria. The SAM riboswitch acts at the level of transcription termination control. The predicted structure consists of a complex stem-loop region followed by a single stem loop terminator region. The record is from RNAcentral. Lineage: Bacteria; Bacillati; Bacillota; Bacilli; Caryophanales; Bacillaceae. RNAcentral also lists the same sequence under 1 other name.
AUCUUAUCAAGAGAGAUGGAGGGACAGGCCCUGUGAAGUCUCAGCAACCGCCAAUAUGGAAAGGUGCUAAUUCCUGCAGGAACAAUCAUUCCUGGCCGAUAAGAA